RNAcentral lists this long non-coding RNA (270 nucleotides) under Lathyrus oleraceus (garden pea). RNAcentral's name for it is "Pisum sativum (pea) long non-coding RNA (PSAT_LNC017805)". Lineage: Eukaryota; Viridiplantae; Streptophyta; Magnoliopsida; Fabales; Fabaceae. The record is from RNAcentral.
AAAAUGCAAGAACACUCAGGAUAAUAUCAGUCUUAAUUUCGAGUCUGCACAAGACAAGUGAAGAACCCGAAAUGCAAGGAAGGUUUUUCUGGAAUUUGGAAGAGAAAUACGUUUUUAGUUCUUGUGUUAUUUUUCUGAAUAGAAUCAUAUAUUUAUAGGAGAUAUGGAUGUUGUUUCAAAAGUUUGCAACCUUUGAUGAAAUAACACCAUUUCACCAUAAAACACAAUGUUUCAUAUAUGACACUAUUUCAUGAAAAGAUAUGAAAAUUG